AUUGAACGCUGGCGGCAUGCCUUACACAUGCAAGUCGAACGGCAGCUCGGGUGCUUGCCCCUGGUGGCGAGUGGCGAACGGGUGAGUAAUACAUCGGAACAUGUCCUGUAGUGGGGGAUAGCCCGGCGAAAGCCGGAUUAAUACCGCAUACGAUCCACGGAUGAAAGCGGGGGACCUUCGGGCCUCGCGCUAUAGGGUUGGCCGAUGGCUGAUUAGCUAGUUGGUGGGGUAAAGGCCUACCAAGGCGACGAUCAGUAGCUGGUCUGAGAGGACGACCAGCCACACUGGGACUGAGACACGGCCCAGACUCCUACGGGAGGCAGCAGUGGGGAAUUUUGGACAAUGGGCGAAAGCCUGAUCCAGCAAUGCCGCGUGUGAAGAAGGCCUUCGGGUUGUAAAGCACUUUUGUCCGGAAAGAAAUCCUUGGCUCUAAUACAGUCGGGGGAUGACGGUACCGGAAGAAUAAGCACCGGCUAACUACGUG
RNAcentral lists this ribosomal RNA (484 nucleotides) under uncultured bacterium. Its description in RNAcentral is "partial 16S ribosomal RNA". It matches the Rfam family "Bacterial small subunit ribosomal RNA", at positions 30 to 507 of the family's 1533-position model. The record is from RNAcentral.